UACGUAGGGUGCAAGCGUUAAUCGGAAUUACUGGGCGUAAAGCGUGCGCAGGCGGUUUUGUAAGUCUGACGUGAAAUCCCCGGGCUCAACCUGGGAAUUGCGUUGGAGACUGCAAGGCUAGAAUCUGGCAGAGGGGGGUAGAAUUCCACGUGUAGCAGUGAAAUGCGUAGAGAUGUGGAGGAACACCGAUGGCGAAGGCAGCCCCCUGGGUCAAGAUUGACGCUCACGCACGAAAGCGUGGGGAGCAAACAGG
This 253-nucleotide ribosomal RNA is filed under the name uncultured bacterium. RNAcentral's name for it is "partial 16S ribosomal RNA". It matches the Rfam family "Bacterial small subunit ribosomal RNA", at positions 524 to 776 of the family's 1533-position model. The record is from RNAcentral.